AAAAUCUCAAAAAUAAUACAUUUAUGUUUACUUCCAACACGCAAGCCGACCAAAUUGCAACAUUAAUUGUCAUUAUUACGCAUCAACAUGUAAAGCAAUUGAAUAAGGUACUUGAAUUUACAAAAGUUAAUUUGAAAGAAAAGCGACUAGUUGAUGCUGUUGACGCAAAAAUUAAAAGACGAAAAUCAGAGUACGCAAGAAAAAGCAGUAAUUAUGGGGUCCUCGGUCUAUUUCGGCUUAGAUAAUAAUUGUUUUAUUUUAUUAUUCCUUCUUACAAGCAAAUUUUUGUUGGAGCAAAUAUUUGUUUUCUUUAAUUUGCAAUAAAAAAAACAAAGAAUGUUUGAAGAUUAUUUGACAACUUUAUAAGCUUUAUUGUCUAUAUUGAAAAAAGAAUCGGCCCUGAAGUAAAGAAUGUGUUUGGGAAAGUGUAAUGUAACUUGCGAGAAAAUAAUUUUUGUCUAGAAUUAAAUAAUGUAAAACAAAAUAUUUUGAACGUUUGUAUGCUUAUGCCAAAAAUUUUUAAAUAUUUGAAGUAGUAAAAAACAUAAUAUUAAUAUUUGCAUUUAAUUGUUUAUAUAGGUUUAUCUGAGAAAGCCGUCAUACAUGAAUCAAAAGUUGUAUCUAUCAUAUUAUAUUGUAAGCAAUUCUUUACUAUUGGCAAUUGUCAAUGUAUCGAACUCACAAUUUUAUUAGUUAAUAUUUAUUUAUCGGUAAUAAAAGUACAUCUAAA
This is a non-coding RNA of Linepithema humile (Argentine ant), 730 nucleotides long. The record is from RefSeq and is a predicted model, not a curated record. NCBI's taxonomy places the organism in Eukaryota, Metazoa, Arthropoda, Insecta, Hymenoptera, Formicidae.